RNAcentral lists this ribosomal RNA (512 nucleotides) under uncultured bacterium. Its description in RNAcentral is "bacterial SSU rRNA". It matches the Rfam family "Bacterial small subunit ribosomal RNA", at positions 388 to 918 of the family's 1533-position model. The record is from RNAcentral.
CCAGCCAUGCCGCGUGAGUGAUGAAGGCCCUAGGGUCGUAAAGCUCUUUCGCCUGUAAUGAUAAUGGCAGUAGCAGGUAAAGAAACCCCGGCUAACUCCGUGCCAGCAGCCGCGGUAAUACGGAGGGGGUUAGCGUUGUUCGGAAUUACUGGGCGUAAAGCGCGCGUAGGCGGACUAUUAAGUCAGAGGUGAAAUCCCGGGGCUCAACCCCGGAACUGCCUUUGAUACUAGUAGUCUAGAGUUCGAGAGAGGUGAGUGGAAUUCCGAGUGUAGAGGUGAAAUUCGUAGAUAUUCGGAGGAACACCAGUGGCGAAGGCGGCUCACUGGCUCGAUACUGACGCUGAGGUGCGAAAGUGUGGGGAGCAAACAGGAUUAGAUACCCUGGUAGUCCACACCGUAAACGAUGAAUGCCAGUCGUCGGAUAGCAUGCUAUUCGGUGACACACCUAACGGAUUAAGCAUUCCGCCUGGGGAGUACGGUCGCAAGAUUAAAACUCAAAUGAAUUGACGGGG